ACGCUCGACACCUACCGGAGGCAGCAGUGGGGAAUAUUGCACAAUGGGGGAAACCCUGAUGCAGCGACGCCGCGUGAGCGAAGAAGUAUUUCGGUAUGUAAAGCUCUAUCAGCAGGGAAGAAACUGACGGUACCUGACUAAGAAGCACCGGCUAAAUACGUGCUAGCAGCCGCGGUAAUCUGAGCGGGCUGGCAAGGC
Molecule: ribosomal RNA, 198 nt
Filed under: uncultured bacterium
Lineage: Bacteria
Description: partial 16S ribosomal RNA
Rfam family: Bacterial small subunit ribosomal RNA
Source: RNAcentral